Molecule: long non-coding RNA, 1091 nt
Filed under: Malus domestica (apple)
Lineage: Eukaryota; Viridiplantae; Streptophyta; Magnoliopsida; Rosales; Rosaceae
Description: long non-coding RNA (MDOM_LNC015514)
Source: RNAcentral
UGGCUGUUCUAAAUUUGGGAAGACAAAAGCGUGAAUUUUGAUGCAGUACGGAUGGUGAUUUAAGCCAUUUGGAAGGAACAAAAUGGUGUGCUAUGGGAGGCGCAAUUUUCUGAACCUUUGGAGGUGGUUCAAAGGAUGUUUAGCUGGCUUCAUGAUUUCUAGGUGGUCAACUAGCAACCUAGCUGAGUGUAGGAGUCAAAAUAGGAUUGGUGGUUAUCCUAAUGAUGGGUGGCUUAAACUGAACAAUUGAUGGUGUUGUACAACUGAAUGAGGAAAUUGGAGAUGCUGAAUGGUAAUACGCAGGGAAUGAAUAAGUUUCAAGGUGGCGGGGGUGUGGAGGUUUCAAGGCAUUGCUUCAGUCAAGCAAGUGGAACUUCUUGCUAUUAGGGCAGACUUGCACCUUGCGAAGUCUCUUAGAUGCGAUCAAAUUGUAGUGGAGAUUGAUUCUAUGGAAACUAUGGCUACCUAUAAUGGUAGUAGUAUGGAUCUAUCUAGUCUCAGCUUUAUUGCCACUGAUAUCCAGGAGUUGAUGUCUAUGGGUACAAUAUCGUAUAUGAAGGAAAAAAUUUGUAAAAACAAGUUCAUUUGAGCAACAUUUAUGCAUGCUAUUGACAAUUAAAAGGCGAAAUCAUGUUUGUAUGCACUCAAAAACAAAACUUAACCCAUGAAAUUCAAAGCCUAGUUGUUGUGCUGAACCAAGACUCAACUCAAGAACAAAGUGAGUUGAGAAAUCUUAUACUUUUGUUGAUUCCUCUUUGCAUAAGCAAAAGCUAAUCACCCAAGGAGAGGGCCUUCAUUCCUUGCUUCUUAGCUCCAUGGAUUUCUUGGAGGAGGAUGGUUGAAAGGAUUCUCCAAGUUCCCAAAAUAGAGAACCUCUAAUUUUUCCACACCAAGGAGAACAUUGAUGAAGAAUGAAGGAAGAUUGCUAGCUAUGUUCCUCUAGGGUGGCCAACCUCUUAGAGAGAAAGGGAGAGUUUGUGUUCUCUCCAAUUUCCUCAAAGAAAAACCUUAAUGAUGAAAUGGCUAUAAAGUUUCCGUUAUACCAUCUCACAAUGGAGUGACAAACUUGCAAUUAAGGCAAGUUCCCUACC